UUUGAAUUUCAAUCAAAUCAUAUAUUAUUUACGUUUUCUGCAAUUUUAUGGUCAGAUGUCAGAUCUAAUCUCUUUUCAUAUUUAUUGGCGAGAUGUAAGAGAGUGUUCGAUUUACAUUAGCAGACAUGUAAAGCAAGGUUGGCAUAGAACCACUGAGUAGGUGAUUUACAACAUCAUUAAGAACUCACUACAUCAAUUUUCCGAUCCUAAACCACAUCUAUGAGUUACAAAAGGUAUUAAUAAGAUAUCAUGGAUACAUUAAAAUCGUAUAGAGCAAACUAAGACUACAUUACCUGGAAAGUGGCUCCAUUGUGGACAAUGUCCCGAACAGAAAGUGGCUUCAUAUCAGUNAUGUGAUACAACACCACCUAAAUACAAAGGAGCUUCAAAGUGAAACAAAACUAGGAAUAAAAUUUUGAUACAGCUUAAGCAUGGAGAGCUUAUUGUCACACUUGCAAUACCAAGCUUCCGGAUAAUACUCUAACGGCAUACUCAAUCAUAUUGUCCUUCAUGCACUCUUCGAUUUGCUCGCCACACAAUUCACGAUGGCCAACAAAGCUGCAAGAAAAGCAUUGAAUCAAUAAAAAAAAAGUCUGUGUGUUUGAAUUUCAAUCAAAUCAUAUAUUAUUUACGUUUUCUGCAAUUUUAUGGUCAGAUGUCAGAUCUAAUCUCUUUUCAUAUUUAUUGGCGAGAUGUAAGAGAGUGUUCGAUUUACAUUAGCAGACACGUAAAGCAAGGUUGGCAUAGAACCACUGAGUAGGUGAUUUACAACAUCAUUAAGAACUCACUACAUCAAUUUUCCGAUCCUAAACCACAUCUAUGAGUUACAAAAGGUAUUAGUAAGAUAUCAUGGAUACAUUAAAAUCGUAUAGAGCAAACUAAGACUACAUUACCUGGAAAGUGGCUCCAUUGUGGACAAUGUCCGAACAGAAAGUGGCUUCAUAUCAGUAACUAGCAGCUUAAGCAUCUCCUUUUGAUUUUGAGAACACAUGAGUUCUGAUUCCACCUACUAGUGCUUUUCCUUUCUUUUUUAUGUGAGAACCCUAACAGGAAUAACAACUCAAACUAAUACACUUGCUGAACCAAACAUGUUCUCUCCAUCCAUCAAAUACACAAAAUAAAAAAGAAAACGCUAAGGAACCGUGGAAAUCAGCAAGACGAUAACUUAGUGAAAAUACAUAAUCCAACAACUUAAGGGUCACCGAAAUUAUAUUUAACAAUUCUUGGAAAAUCUGCAAUUGCAUCAGCAAGAUAAGCUAUUUAAAGAAGUAUAAUUCUUAUUUUAGCAUCACCCCCUCAAAAUUCAGACAAGACAUCAACCAAUUUUAUAAAACAAAAUAUAUCUCAAAAAGACAAAAAAAAAUUGUUACGCCAAGGCAACACGGACUAGCUUCAGCAUAUCCAAGCUCUGCCAAGGCUAAUAAGGAUCUCACAAAGACCUGAAAAACUGGAAAUGACAAGAUCAACUAGAAAAUUGAACAGCUUUAAAGCAACAACUAGAAUAUAGGGCAAAUCAGUCGGCCAUAAUCAGGAUACCGCUUUAAAGCAACAUCAAAAACAUAAUUAGGAUGCUGUCAUAUAAAUCACAAAUCAUGCCCCGAAAGUUUUCUGUAUUUGAGUAGAAUUUUUGUAUUUAUUAUAUUACAAAGGCAAGACACCUAUUUAUACAAAUACUAACACAAUCAAGAUCUUAUUCUACUCCUUAUUCUAUUCCUAUAAUCAAGUCUAAUUUGCACAUGUAUGGGAAGAAAUUAUAUAGCUAUCAAUUUAUAACAUUCAGUGGCAUAAAUCAAGUUGUGUUUCCUUUAACACUCCCCCUCAAGUUGGAGUUAAGUUGGAGUGUAUGUUGAUGACACCCAACUUGUUGGGUAAGGCUUCGAAUUGUGUGGAGCUUAGGGGUUUGGUGAAUAAAUCUGCUGGCUGAUCUGUAGUUUGAAUAUAGGCCGUCGGAAUCAUUCCUUCUUGGAUCUUAUCACAUACCAAGUGACAGUCUAUCUCUAUGUGUUUGAUUCGCUCAUGGAAUACGGGGUUUGAUGCUAUGUGCAUAGCUGCUUGAUUAUCACAAAAUAAGCUAACUGGUUGCGUGUGAUUUACCCUCAAAUCCUUCAAAAUAUUUCUCAACCAUGUAACCUCACAGCAUGUGGUAUCCAUAGCACGAUAAUUUGCUUCGGCACUCGAACGGAAUACUGUAGUUUGUUUCUUGGUCUUCCAAGAAACUGGUGCUUGGCCAAGUAGAAUAUAAUAGCUUGUAGUUGAUCUCCGUGUGUCCUUGCAACGAGCCCAAUCUGUAUCACAAAAUGCUCGUAAUUGAAGCCAAACUGUGGAUGGUAAGAGGAUGCCUUGUCUUGGUGUUCGCUUGAUAUAUUUGAGCACUUUGUGAGCCGCCUCCAUGUGUGGUUCUCGUAGUUUGUCUAUAAACUGGCUCAAUACAUGGAUAGUAUAAGUCAAAUCUGGCCUUGUUAUGGUUAGGUAGAUUAACCUCCCAACCAAUCUUCUGUAUAAUGAAGCGCCAUCUAAGAGAUUUCCAUCUGAUUGUGUAAGUGACAUAUUUUGCUCUACAGGGAAUCGAGAAGGCUUAGCACCCAAGAAUCCAGUAACAUCCAAGAUUUCCAAGGCAUAUUUGCGUUGUGAUAAAGUAAUUCCAUGUCUUGAUCUUGCAACUUCUAUGCCAAGGAAAUAUUUAAGUUGCCAAAUUUAAGUUUGAAUUGCUUGGACAAGAAGAGCUUGGUGUUCUCUAUAUCCUGUAGAUUGUUUCCAUCCAAAAUCACAUCAUCAACAUAUACAAGUAAGGUUAGGAAGCUACCUUGAUGACAUCGGACGAAUAAAGAAUAAUCAGACCGAGAUUGGUGGAAGCCAGCGUACUUGAGUGCAGUGGACAAUUUUAUAAACCAUUGCCUAGAAGCCUAUUUUAAGUCAUAUAGUGAUUUGUGAAGUUUACAAACACGAGUCUCCCCCUUUCAUCCGAAACCAGGGGGCAAGGACAUGUAUACCUCUUCAUAAAGAUCUCCAUGCAUAAAGGCAUUGUUGACAUCUAAUUGAUGUAAAUGCCAACCACGCAAAGCAGCCAUAGUGAGUAAAGUACAAACAGUCACCAUUUUGGCCAUGGGAGCAAAGGUUUCCCUAUAAUCAACCCCUUCAACUUGACUGAAGCCCUUUGCCACCAACCGGGCUUUAUGCCGCUCGAUUGUCCCAUCAGCCCUCAAUUUGAUUUUAUACACCCAUUUGCAUCCAAUGGGACUCUUAUGAGAGGGCAAAGUGACUAAACUCCAAGUACUAUUUGCUUGUAAAGUUGCUAUUUCUUGCCACAUGGCCUCACGCCACUGUGGAGAUUGGACAGCUUCUCAAAAACUGUUAGGCUCUUUAAGUAAUGUGAGUUGUGGGGUAAAAGUUCUAUAAGCAGGAGAAAGGUUUUCAUAAGAUAAAAAUUGAGAUAAAGGGUGAUUUGUACCUGAAGAUUGGACCACAUUCAUGGAUGACGAUGGAGCAUUCUUUGAGGGGAGAGUCGUCUCAAUGUGAAAAUCUUGUAAAUAAGUAGGCCGUUUGGUCUGUCGAUGUAUACGACGAGAGAGAACAUUUUGUGGAGAAAAAAGAAUUAAGGCUGUCGUGUUUUGUGAGGAAGGAGAGUCUGGGGCAGUUUGGGCUGGUAGUGUGUCAAGUGGAAUAUUGAGUGGAUUGGGACUUGUUGGAUGAGGAGAAUCAUAUUUAGAUGGAGGUGGUUCUGUGGAAGGAGAGGAAGGCACGAGAGGUGGCAUUGGUGGUAUGUCAAAUGGUAAUGUGGAUACAUUAGUGAGAGGAGAGAAUUAUGAUGUGUCGGGAUGACUGGAAGGUGCAGUUGGUUGGCAACUAGUUUUGAAAGGGAAUGUGGUUUCAAAGAAAGAAACAUCCUGUGAAAUCAUGACCUUGUUUUGAACUAGAUCAAAGACACGAUAGCCCUUUUGACCAUAAGGAUAGCCAAGGAAAAUACAUUGAGAGGCUCAAGCAUCAAACUUUGAAGGGUGUUGUGCGUGAAUGGAAAUGAAACAUAAGCAACCAAAUACUUGUAAAUGUGAGUAACUUGGAACUUUGUGGAAUAAUUUCUCAUAGGGCAUUUUUCCUUGAAGGAGUGGAGUGGGUGUUCGGUUGAUUAAAUAUGUGGAAGUAAGAAUAGCAUCCCCCUAAAACUGAUGAGGAAGAUCGGCUUGAAUAAGAAUAGCUCGUGCCAUAUUUAAUAAAUAUCUGUGUUUUCGCUCGACGACACCAUUUUGUUGUGGUGUGUUGAUACAGCUGGUUUGAUGGAUUAUACCCUUAUUCGUAUAAAAGUUUUUGAGUUUGAAUUCGGCUCCAUUGUCACUACGAAUAAUUUUGACUUUGGAAUUGAAUUGAUUUUCAACAAUGUUGAUAAAUUUCAUUAGGAGGCUUUUAGUGUCUGACUUGUGUUUCAUGAGAUAAGUCCAAGUGCAUCGAGUGUGAUCAUCAACAAUGGUGAGAAAAUACUUAACGCCAGAAAUCGAAGGAAUUUUAUAACCACCCCAAAUGUCAAUAUGAAUUAAAUCAAAACACGUUGUAGAAUUAAUAGAACUAGAAGAAAAAGGAAGCCUUGUCUGUUUGGCAAAUGGACAAAUCAAGCAUAGAUCGGUAGCACAAGAUGUAACUGUGAAAUUAGGAAAAUGAAAUAAUGAAGAUACUUUAUUCGAGGGGUGUCCAAGACGUUGGUGCCAAAGGGUCAGAUUAGAUGUCUGGAUAUGAUGGCAUGAUUCUUUCUAGGUUCGGUCCAGAUAGUAGAGGCCCUCCCGUUCAAUUCUUGUCCCAAUCGUCUUCCCCGAGCGUAGGUCCUAAAUGAAACAAACUUGGCUUAGAAAAAUGGUUACACAAUAUGAAUGAGAAGCUAACUUGCUAAUAGAAAUCAGAUUUAAUCGAAAAUAUGGUACACAUAACACAUUUUCGAGAAUUAAGUGAGGAGAUAAAACAACUUUGCCUAUGUGAGUUACUGGAGCCAUGAAACCAUUUAGUAAUUCGACAGUGUGGUUAUGAAUAGGUUUUGAAUGGGUGAGCAAGUGAGGAUUACAAACCAUAUGAUCGGUGCAUCCACUGUCCAAAAUCCACGUAGCUUUUGUGCCAUUAGAAAUUAAUGGAAAGUUUUACCUGACAGUUCAUCGUGAGUGGAGCAAUUACCCACUUGAUUGCCAGAAGAAGAUUUGUUUUUCAACAUGUUGAGAAUCUGCUGGCACUCAUUUACUGAAAAAGGGAAAUUCAUCCCCCUCUCAUUGGUCAAGUGAGAUUUGGCCUGAUUCCCUUUUUAAACCAAUGUAUUAAAUUUAGAUUCUGCUAUCCUUUUCUUCCUGCAAUACUCGAUGGAAUGCCCCUUCCAACCGUAAAAAUCACAUUUAAGAUGGGCAUGACAAUUCUUGGUGGUGUGAAUGGUUCUGUUACACUUAAAGCAUUUCUUUUCACCCUUCUCUUCAGGUUCACGAUGGGAAUUUUUUACUGCAAAAACAGCUGCUUCCGGUUGAUUAUGGCUUUUCCUUGUCGUGACCUCCAAGUUUUUCUCAUGACGAAGAACUAACGAGUAUGCUUUGUUCACCGCAGGCAAUGGAUCUUGUAAUAGAACAUUGCUUCGAACACCUCCAUAGGAUUCAUUAAGUCCCAUAAGGAAUUUCAUAGCUUUCUGUGUUUCUAUAUAUGCAGCCAUUUCCUUCACUGAUUCACAGGUGCAUGCUAGUAAUGCGGCUAAUUUGUCACGUUCAUCCCAUAAACCCUUCAAUUUCGUGAAGUAAGAUCCUACAGUCAUGUUCUCUUGGACACAAUCAUGGAUCUCAUUCUCCACAUUAAAUAAUUGGAUGGCGUUUACAUGUGAGAAUCAUUCCUGCAAAUCAAGCCACAUCUUUCUAGCAUCCUUGCAAUUGAUAACACUAUUGGCAAUCUCCUAGGACAUAGAUCCCAGUAGCCAAGUUUUAACCAAGUUGUUGCAACGGUUCCAUUGUUGCAGUUCAUCCGCAGCGCUCGCAUCAGGCUCCUUGAUUGAGCCGUCUACAAACCCGACCUUGUUUUUUACCGUUAAGGCCAUAACCAUGGAUUGACUCCAUGUGCUAUAAUUGUCCUCAGCCAAUGGUUGUGGCACAAGGAUGGUGCCAGGCUGAUCGGAAUGGCGAUGGUAAAGUUGGUGGUUGGGAAAGUCCCAUUUUUACUCAAGACCAUGCUUCCUACUAUGUCUGCUAUGGAAGUCGACUGGAGCUUUAAAACAGAAUUCUGGUGCCUAGAUUAUAAGGCUCUGAUACCAUGAAAGUUUUCUAUAUUUGAGUAGAAUUUUUGUAUUGAUUAUAUUACAAAGGCAAGACACCUAUUUAUACAAAUUCUAACACAAUCAAGAUCUUAUUCUACUCCUUAUUCUAUUCCUAUAAUCAAGUCUAAUUUGCACAUGUAUGGGAAGAACUUAUAUAGCUAUCAAUUUAUAACAUUUAGUGGCAUAAAUCAAGUUGUGUUUCCUUUAACAUGCCCAUCUAAUUACUAAAGCAGCAACCAGAAUAUAGGGCAAAUCAAAAGAACAAAAAUUAAAUAAGGAAAAAUGAGUGACAGGUUCGGGGAAUCGAUUCAGGGCUAAGGGCUUUACCUUCAUCUUCAGUUAUUCUACUGCAGCUGAAGAAUCACCGACAUCAGGCGGUCAGGACCGCAUCUGCUUUUGCUGCUACCGUAACCGUUGCCGCUCAAAUCAAAUAAACAGGACCAGAUGGAGAGCAGGUGAGGCGAGUAGCAAUGGAAAAUGAGAAGUCUGGCUCUGGAAGGUGGAGACGGAGACAGCGACGCUGAAACUGGAAGGAGUAGGCAGCGGUGGGGGCCGAGAAAGUAGUGGAUGGAAUGGGAUUG
This 6840-nucleotide long non-coding RNA is filed under the name Olea europaea (common olive). Its description in RNAcentral is "long non-coding RNA (OEUR_LNC015393)". Lineage: Eukaryota; Viridiplantae; Streptophyta; Magnoliopsida; Lamiales; Oleaceae. The record is from RNAcentral.